RNAcentral lists this ribosomal RNA (253 nucleotides) under uncultured bacterium. RNAcentral describes it as "partial 16S ribosomal RNA". It matches the Rfam family "Bacterial small subunit ribosomal RNA", at positions 524 to 776 of the family's 1533-position model. The record is from RNAcentral.
UACGUAGGGGGCGAGCGUUGUCCGGAUUCAUUGGGCGUAAAGCGCGCGCAGGCGGUGGCGUGAGCCCGGCGUGAAAGCCCCCGGCUCAACUGGGGAGGGUCACGCGAUACUGAUCGACUCGAAGGCAGGAGAGGGUAGUGGAAUUCCCGGUGUAGUGGUGAAAUGCGUAGAUAUCGGGAGGAACACCAGUGGCGAAGGCGACUACCUGGCCUGUUCUUGACGCUGAGGCGCGAAAGCUAGGGGAGCAAACGGG